UGGGAUAUGGUGUAAUGGUAACACUGCAGAUUCUGGUCCUGCCAUUCUUGGUUCGAGUCCGAGUAUCCCAA
Molecule: transfer RNA, 71 nt
Filed under: Prevotella sp.
Lineage: Bacteria; Pseudomonadati; Bacteroidota; Bacteroidia; Bacteroidales; Prevotellaceae
Also listed under: 1 other name
Description: tRNA-Gln
Rfam family: tRNA
About the family: Transfer RNA (tRNA) molecules are approximately 80 nucleotides in length. Their secondary structure includes four short double-helical elements and three loops (D, anti-codon, and T loops).
Source: RNAcentral